UUCAUGUCAGUUCCGGUGUUAUGCUGACAAAUGCAUGUCUGCUAAGAAAUGCAUUCACCUCGCAGGUCAAUACAGAAUAUAUGAGACCAUAGACUAUAAAUAUUAAGUGUCAGAUACAUUUUCUACACUGCCGUAUUUUAUUUUGCAUCCACCGUUAAAUUAAUCUACGGACGCUUUAGAGUCAAACACUUGUUUUGCAGCUCAGGCUUUGAAAACCCUGCUUCUACCGAGCCUCCAGAACAAUACGGACAUUAAACGUUUAGCUUUGAGCCGAGAGAAAAAAACAUGGGAAGAAAGAAGAAAAAGCAAAUGAAGCCUUGGUGCUGGUACUGUAACAGAGACUUUGACGAUGAGAAGAUUCUCAUUCAGCAUCAGAAGGCCAAACAUUUCAAGUGUCACAUCUGCCAUAAGAAGCUGUACACUGGUCCCGGGCUCGCAAUCCACUGUAUGCAGGUACAUAAAGAGACCAUCGACGGAGUUCCUAAUGCGAUACCUGGACGGACAGAUAUAGAGCUAGAAAUAUACGGCAUGGAAGGGAUUCCAGAAAAAGACAUGGACGAGAGGAGAAGAGUGUUAGAACAAAAGAACCAAGACACUCAGAAGAAAAAGCAGAAUCAAGAUGAUUCUGAUGAGGACGAUGAUGAUGACGAGCCGGGUCCUUCCUUCCAGCCGCCCGCUGCAGUUCAGCCGCAGGCGGGCUUCAUCCCGCCGAUGACCCAGCCAGGCAUGCUUCCUGGCUCGAGUACACCAGGGAUACCACCGGGCAGCUACUCAGGAAUUCCUCCCAUGAUGCCCGGUGUGCCACCCAUGAUGCCAGGAAUGCCGCCCUUACUGCCAGGAAUGCCUCCAGGGAUGAUACCAAUGGGCGGGAUGAUGCCUCCAGGUGCAGGGAUGCCGCCAAUGAUACCAGGAAUGCCACCAGGCAUGCCUCCCCCUCUGGCCCACCGUCCAAGCAUCACACACAUGGCUCAGGUUGCUGCUGCUGCUGCUGCUGCAAACAUGCUGACUAGACCAACAGUUCCUGCUGCCUCUCAGCCCUCAGCCCAGCCGGAUGUCUCCAAGCCUCUCUUCCCCAUUGCUGGACAGAUUGGCAGUCGCGUUGCAAGUACAACCGCAGACCCGUCAUGUUCAGACUCUCAGUCUUCCUCUCCUAAAGCUCUGUUCUCUAUCACAUCACAAAUCCAGCACGCAGUAUCAGGGUCCCCUCACUUCCCCCCCUCCACAUCCUCUGACCCUACAAAGUCCACAUUUCCAAACUACACGCAGGCCACUGUAGCAGGGUCCAGCCCCACCGCUGGUAGCAGUAUAGUCUCCAAACCUCCCUCCACUGUGACCAGUAAGCCUGCCACCCUCACCGCCUCCAGUGCAACCAGUAAGUUGAUCCACCCUGAUGAGGAUAUCUCACUGGAGGAGUUUCGAGCUCAGCUGCCCAGAUACCAGCGCAGUCUUCCCCGCCAAGGCCAGACGGCCGCCGCCUCCCAGUCAGUGGGUCCCAUGGGUGGCAUGAUGUCUCCUCAGCAGGCCAGCAUGAGGCAACCCUUACCUGGCCAGUAUGGGGGUCCACCCCAGGGAAUGCCAGGCUACAUACCAGGGAUGCCUCCAUACGUACAGGCCCCUCCUGUGGGUCCCCCAGGGUACCAGGGAGCCCCUCCGCGCCCCCCUUUGGGUGUGAGGCCCCCCGUCAUGUCUCCUGGAGGCCGCUUCUGAAGCCCACCUCCCUCUCUUCAAUAGGUGUGUAGAAGUGUUGUAGAUUUGGUUCGUAGUGUUGUGAAGGCGCUGGAGUUACAUGGGCAGUACCCCCCCUCCCCCCUUUAUCAAGCGAUGCCCUGGGGGACUGGCUGAGGCCGUGUCUCAGUGUAGCCCUGUUCAGCCUGAGGCAAGUCUCACCGUUUUCUGUUUCUCAUUCAUUAGCAGGGGCCCUCACAGCGAGCUCGCUGUUGGAUCUACAUGUCCCCAAACUUGCAGCAAGUUUGGUGAAGGCCCUUGUUUGUGUUGUUGCGUAUCCAGGCAUGUUAGCUCAUGUGAAAAACAGGUUCAUUCUUUCUAAUGAGGCUGAAAUGUGCCCUGUUUCUGAUUGGUCAGAGCAUUAAAACGCUUGGUUUUCAUUUGAUAUCUUAACAUUUACAGCUAUCAAAUGAAACUCUUUAAUUCUCAUAUUAACUUAUCCCAAAGUGUAAAACAGUGAUGGUCAAAACUCAAACACUGGGACAGACCCUUCCUCCACAUGUUCUCUAAAUGUCAUGCUUGUUUGAGGGUUUGUGAUUGAACACGUUACCUUUCAUAUGCUUGUUAAACUCAACCCUGUUUGUUUUAUCAGCUGUCCUCACUUGAUCAUUUGAGUUUAAUGAAGGAGAGUCUCUGCCACUCACAGGUUAGUUAAAGCUGUAAGUACCACUGCGUUCAUUUUUUCCUUCUGUCCUGUUUUUUUAUUUCACAAGUAGAGGAAUUCAUGUUUCAUCUUGUUAAGGUUUACAACAACGGCAGCCAAUAUUUCAGUUUGAUAACUUCACAAUAAAUCAGGGUUGAUCUUGAGUUGAAACAUGUUCAAUGGUUCUGCCUGAUGUGAGCAGCAUCUCAACGUGGUUUUGAAAACUCAACGCAUGCUCUCGAUUUAAUGUUCUACUCGAGUCAUCGCAGGCACAGACUCCACUGGUAAGUACUGGCUCAUGUCUUUGUUAAAGAUGCUAAACCAGUUAACUUAUUGUGUGUCUUUAAACCUGCUCAUCAGUUCAGUUAAAUGAAAAGGUUUCACACAUCUUCUGCACAUCCACUUCAUUAUUAGUCUGAACAUCGUCUGCUACUGGGUCAGAUUUAAAGGUUUGGAAGAGACACUUCUCUGCUCUUAAGUUCAGUCCAAUCUUCAGUUUUAAUAACGAGUACAUGUGACAUCUUCACCACAGUCUGGAUGUUUGUUCUUCUUUUAAUAAACCACUUUAUUCAA
Molecule: RNA transcript, 2941 nt
Organism: Labrus mixtus (cuckoo wrasse)
Lineage: Eukaryota; Metazoa; Chordata; Actinopteri; Labriformes; Labridae
Gene name: BUB3-interacting and GLEBS motif-containing protein ZNF207-like
Exons: 14
Source: RefSeq, a predicted model, not a curated record